This 76-nucleotide microRNA precursor is filed under the name Myotis davidii. Its description in RNAcentral is "mir-9229 microRNA precursor family". It matches the Rfam family "mir-9229 microRNA precursor family". The record is from Rfam by way of RNAcentral. Lineage: Eukaryota; Metazoa; Chordata; Mammalia; Chiroptera; Vespertilionidae.
GAGACACCCCUAUGGGGCAAGAUUUGCUUCAGUGAGUCUCUGGUGCUCACUGAGUCUGCUCCCUGAGUGUGUCCCU